GAGAGAGAGAAAGAAAGAAAGGAAAGGAGGGAGGGAAGAAGGAAGCAAGAAAGAGAGGAGAGAGAGGAAGCAAGCUCUUAAUACUGGUCAUAGCUUUAUUCUGAGUACCAUCUCUAUAAGCCCGACAACCAGCAUCUCACAUUAGACACAUCCCUGCCCCACAGCUUCCAGGAGUAAGCCCAAAGAGGGAUGUUUUCUGCUGGGCCAUAAUAGUUAAGUUUCUAUUGCUGUGACCAAAAGCAACUUGAAGAGAAAAGGGCUUUUUUCAUCUUACACAUCUAGGUAAUAGAUCAUCACAGAGGGAAGUCAAGAUGGGAAUUCAUUGCAGGAACCCAAAGGCAGGAACUGAAGGAGAGAUUGUGGAGGGAGUGGUACUGCUUACUGUAUUGCUGCCAGGCUCUUGAUCACCUGCCUUUACUAUACAGACACUGCCCACAGUGGACCAGACCCUUCUACAUCAAUUAUUAAACAAGCAAAGGCUCCACAGAUAUCCCACGAGUGUCAGACUGACAGCCAAGAUUAGCCAUCACAGGUGUAUCCUGUGUGGCUCCCCAGAGUGAAGUCCUUUGUCAAAAGGAAAAGAGAAGAAAAGACUCUUGAGGUAUCGAGUUCCUCCCUGACAUCAGUUCUCACCACCACAGAGUUAGCAAAGGGACAGAAAACAAAAUCUAAGUGGCCACCUACCCGCCACUCUUCUCAGAAUAGGUACGCUCUAGCCAACUUCUCCUCUAACUGAAAUAAGUGGGAUGGGAUGGUACUAAGGCUCCUAUUUUUAUUGUUACAAGUGCUCAUUCAUACUUUCAACAUUUAUUGAGCACCUACUGUGUACCAGGUCCUGAUGUUAUAGGGCAAUACACUGUGGUCCCCACUCUCAUUAAGAAAGGUGAGUAUUGAGUGAAGCUUCCAGGACAGAUGGAGAAGUGGGGACCGGCAUGGACUCACGUGUGGGAUUUCAUUUACUGCUUUCUAAGUUGAGUAGCAGGUAAAGGAAAAAGGAAAGAAUAGUGUAAGUUGAAUUAGCAGGAAAAGUUCAACUCACAGGGAAUGUUGGCAGAUCUCUUUGGACAGGUAAAAGGCCAAUGAAGGUCGCAUUCUUCUUUUCACGUUAUGCAUUGUACAUCUGAUACCGAAGAUAUUAGAGCUAAUAUCUCUGACGUGCUCAAACCUUGACAUUUUGAGUUAUGAAAUUUUGCAAAUAGGGGCAUCGGCACUUUUGAGUGAAUGAGACACUUUAAAUUUGCUGGCUGUGUAUUACACACCUGUGAUCCCUGCACCCAGGAGCUAAGGCAGCGAGCCUGGGCCACCCAGAAAGUUCAAGGGCAGCCUGAGUUCCAAAGUGAGACAAUCUCAACAACAAGUUCAUCGAUUCUCCUACUGCCUCACUAAAUCCACUGAAGCAGAAUUGGAAUGCAGAACUUGGAUGUUAGUGUAGAAACCUUGUGUUGUGGCUGAUCCACGUUCUCCUAUCUCCCCAUUCCCCCUCCUCCUUAGCUAUUGGGAUUAGGACAUGGAGGUCACUUCCAGAGGAGGGAGCUGAGAUCCCAGCCAGAGAAUGGGUGUGGCUUAGCUUUUGUUUUUGUGAUGAGCUCUGUCUAACAGGAGUACUGAGUAGAGGCCCCAUCCUAACUCCUUUCCCCAGACUUGCUAGCAAAGGACUGUUGUAGGUUAGAGAUCAUCAAGAGGAUGAUGCCCAAGAGGACGAGCAUGGCUCGGAGUCCAAUUGUUAGUUUUCUUGGGCUUUGGACAAGCUUCUGAGACAUCUAAGCCAUCCUUGGUUUUCAAGUACUGUCCUAAUCCUCAGUCCGUGGGGAAGUAAGUGUCCAUAAUAGUUAUGGAAGGAUGGAAUGCAAGCUCAAAGUCAUAGGGCUCUCUUCACUACUAGAUCACCAGAGACUAUUUAAGUGAAUGAAUGACAGACAGAGGUGUGUGUGGCUUACAAUGACCUGUCAGCUUGCUUAAAGUGAAUCUGUGUGACUUUAUAAAGGGUGCCACCAGGGGUUAAAGAGACAGUUCAUUGGUUAAGAGCACUGGCUGCUGUUCCAGAGACCCAGGUUCAAUCCCCAGCAUCUACCUGGUGCUCAUAACUGUCUGUGACUCUAGUUCCAGGCAACUGGACACCCUCAUACAGACAUACAUGCAGGUUAAACAGCAAAACACAUGAAGCAAAAAUAAACUAAAAAAAAAAAAAAGUGUCCCCGGGCUUUGUUUCUUGUGGUCUCAAACCCCUGAGCCUUAAUCCAAGUGGGAGUAAGGGUUUGAAGGGCCUCUUGGGCCUCUGCUGAGUGGGCACAGUCUCCACUGUAGGUGGCUUCCCUUAUCUGGUCAGAAAUGGCGAGACUCCAGGAACAGGAUUUCCUUCAUAACCUCAGGUUGUCAGACAUGAUUAGAUUUAUUAGAAUUGGUGUUCUCAGAGCUGGGCCCAGUAGCAUACAGCGAGAGCUGCUGUGUGCUGGAUUCAUGGAAUGGUGACGCAAGUCCCCGAGCAUCCAGGUAGAGAUUAGACGCCGGGGUGCCUGCAGGCUUGCUUCCUUCUUUACCAAAGGCAGAUAAAGAACGUGUGUGGGUUCUGAUAGUUGUUAAAUUCAACAAACAGAUUGGCCUAAAGGUGCCUCUGUCCUUGUCACAUGUGACAAAUGAUAAUGAACUGAUACAUGAAAAUGAUAAUGAACACAAGUAUGCAAAUGAACUGAAAUCUAGAUGGGUGUGUAUUUUGCUAACAAGUACUUCUGUCUUAGAGAAUCCUAUCAGUCAAUCACAGGGCAGGAAAUGAUCACACAUAUUUAAAUCAAACAGCCCUAGUUAAAUGUUGUCCUUUAUAAGAGCUACCUUGGUCAUAGUGUCUGUUCACAGCAGCAAAAUCCUAACCGAGCAGUCAGGCAAGCUUUUCUAGGCCCUGACCUGUGUUUUCACCCUUAGUGUACCUGCCACUGUCUGAUUGUGCUAAAUUUAAGUUAUCUGGAGCAUUGCUUUUUUUGUGUGUGUGCACAUUUUAUGUUCAUUUUAGAAGCAUCGCUUUUAACACAUGGAGCAAAUGCCUGUUGCUAGACAGAGCUUGCUCACUCACAAGCAGCGACUUACCUCUGAAAUUAUUUUCAUUUUUUCGUCGUUGGUAUUCAUCUUGUCCGUGAUGGCUUCCUGACUGAGAACGAAUGAGCAAGGAAGUGGUCAGGCAUAGUGAAGUGAACAACGUCUCUCUUGCUCUCGAUGGACAGAGCCUGGGAAGCUCACACCCGGGCCUGCUGAGCUGUUCCUCACAAGUAUUGCAGACCACAGGAGCCAGCAGCGGAGGAGAAGAAAGAAGGAGGAGGAGAAGGAGGAGGAGAAGAAGUGCAGCCUGCUGGCCAGAUGAACCUCAGCCAGAAUGCAAAGGACCAUUUCUGUCUUCUCCCUUUCUGACUGCUACGUCUUAAUUUUUAAUCCUCUCCUUCCAAUGAGCAGAGAGCUGAGACCACAGAGAGUGCCAAAUCCCCUCACCUCCUGCCACCCCUACUGGGUCCCAGCACUCCCUGUCACCACUUCCCCUUGGUACAGUGAAGUGGUCUCUCUGGUUUCUUCUCUGCUUUCACCCAGCCCAUCUCGAGACGGUCAAUGAGUCCCAUCACUGUCCCCCUAAGACCAUGAUCUUGUCACCUCCCACCCUCACGCUGGUGCCUGAACAGUCAUUUCUUUUCUCUAUAUAGGUUCAUUCCUAUCAGAGUUAAAAAUAGCCCAUCUUUUCCUUACCCACAAAAAUGCCUUCUGUCCACUUCACUUCUCUCUAUCGCUCUUGCUCUAUUUUUCAGCCUUUCUAGGGACGCUCUGGAACACCACCGACUCCUUUGCCCAAUCUUUAUUAUUAUGGGUGUGUUUGAGGUGUCUAAUGCUCCCUAUGCCUGUUCCUGCUGGGGUCUGUUAAGGACUCCAGCAUUGUUGUGUCUGAGGAUCAGUGUUCUUGCUCAUGUACUGAACCUCAUCAGACAUGUCAUCAAAACACCUCCUUCACUUGCCUUCUGCAACAGGUUUCUUCUUGCUCUUCUUGCCACCCCUGGACUCCACUUCUCAGCACCUCAUCUCCUCAGUGUUCCGAGGCUCUGCCCUGCCUGUCCUCACUCCCCUGGCUAACUCUUGGCCUGACAUACCGUAUGUACACUGAUCUUUCCCACAUUAACACCUGAGUUUAGACACUUCUUCAGAAUCCAUUAUGUGAUUGUGUCAUGGAUACCUUCCCUUGGCCCUAAAUGAAGCUCUUGGCCUUUGCCUAUUAAUUAGCCUGUGCUGCAAACUUCCUGUUAUAGGAAACAAAUCCCUUCUACCCAGGACAGAAUCUUUGCAGCUGUCUUUAACUGUUAUCAUUCUUCUAUGAUAUAGUGUACCUAUGAAAUUUUUAUACGUCGACUUGACUAGAUCAAGGAAUACUUAAAAAUGUGAGAAAUUACUA
Molecule: long non-coding RNA, 4417 nt
Organism: Mus musculus (house mouse)
Lineage: Eukaryota; Metazoa; Chordata; Mammalia; Rodentia; Muridae
Product: predicted gene, 35762
Exons: 2
Source: RefSeq, a predicted model, not a curated record